Molecule: transfer RNA, 97 nt
Organism: Moniliophthora roreri MCA 2997
Lineage: Eukaryota; Fungi; Basidiomycota; Agaricomycetes; Agaricales; Marasmiaceae
Rfam family: tRNA
About the family: Transfer RNA (tRNA) molecules are approximately 80 nucleotides in length. Their secondary structure includes four short double-helical elements and three loops (D, anti-codon, and T loops). Further hydrogen bonds mediate the characteristic L-shaped molecular structure. tRNAs have two regions of fundamental functional importance: the anti-codon, which is responsible for specific mRNA codon recognition, and the 3' end, to which the tRNAs corresponding amino acid is attached (by aminoacyl-tRNA synthetases). tRNAs cope with the degeneracy of the genetic code in two manners: having more than one tRNA (with a specific anti-codon) for a particular amino acid; and 'wobble' base-pairing, i.e. permitting non-standard base-pairing at the 3rd anti-codon position.
Source: Rfam
GCCCUCUUAGCACAGUGGUAGUGCGUUGCACUUGUAUGUGAUCAUUUAUGAUUCCUCAUCAAUGCAAAGGUCGGUUGUUCAAUCCAGCCAGGGGGCA